This 428-nucleotide ribosomal RNA is filed under the name uncultured bacterium. RNAcentral describes it as "partial 16S ribosomal RNA". It matches the Rfam family "Bacterial small subunit ribosomal RNA", at positions 354 to 796 of the family's 1533-position model. The record is from RNAcentral.
GUGGGGAAUAUUGGGCAAUGGGCGCAAGCCUGACCCAGCAACGCCGCGUGAGGGAAGAAGGCUUUCGGGUUGUAAACCUCUGUCCUUGGUGACGAAACAAAUGACGGUAGCCAAGGAGGAAGCCCCGGCUAACUACGUGCCAGCAGCCGCGGUAAUACGUAGGGGGCGAGCGUUGUCCGGAAUUACUGGGCGUAAAGGGUGCGUAGGUGGCCUUUUAAGUUGGAUGUGAAAUACCCGGGCUUAACUUGGGGGGUGCAUCUAAUACUGGGAGGCUAGAGUGCAGGAGAGGGAAGCGGAAUUCCUAGUGUAGCGGUGAAAUGCGUAGAUAUUAGGAGGAACACCAGUGGCGAAGGCGGCUUUCUGGACUGUAACUGACACUGAGGCACGAAAGCGUGGGGAGCAAACAGGAUUAGAUACCCUAGUAGUCC